UAGGGAGGCAGGAAAAAAAACUGGGCUUGGAUUUACCCACUUUGCUUGCAUGCUGAGUAUGAGUUUGUUGGCAUUUUUUCAGGGGAAGAGGGGAACAGGGAUAAAAAGGACUGCAGAUAGCUGCAUCUGGAGGGAAGGCUGGCAGCCAGUUUAGAGAUUUGGUUCCAGGCCAGAGAGUGGAUAGAUGUGUGAGCAGUACACAGGGAUCCAGACCAUUACAGAAAAAAAAGGGGAGGAGGCUUUUGUCCGAAACAUUUGGGAACUGCUGAGAUAAAGUAAGCUGCUCCAUUCGGUUGACUUGAAGGACUCACAAAGUUGACUUACAUUUCAGCUGGAAAUUGCAACUUGCAGCACAGAAGAGAAGGAGAAGCUUCCUGAACCACAACUGGGGAAUAAUUCUUGAAUGUGGAGCCUUUUCCCAAUCUCUAUAAUGGAGGGUUGCACUUGACAAUCUCUAGAGGACCCUGCUGAGUUCAGCUACUACGGGAUUCUGAACUAGGAAGGAAGUUUUCUUGAAGAGCAUUACAUAUCCCUGCUGAUGCCUGGAUAUUCAGAUCACAUGAAAAGCCAAAUAAAGACUCUGUGAAUUCACACUGCUUUGAAUAGAGGGCACAUUGUGGACUUUGGCUCACUUGUGAAACUCUGUGUGAGGUACAAAGUUAAUACACAGCAAAAAUGUUUAURGCAUUUUGUGUGUACCCUGUAAGAUCGGAGGUAAAUGUCUGCAUUUUUGGUUUCAGAAAAUCUGACCGGAAAGCAUGAAGAUAGCCAUAGUAAAAUUUGAUUGUUACCACCUUGUACACUGUGUUUUGAACAAUGCAUUUUCCCUGAUGGGGUAUAAGGAAAAACACUGUACAUCGGUGGUGGGGGGGAAGCCCCAGCUUAAUGGAUUUUUGCUUGAUGUAGCUUUAAAGAUGUCUCAUGGACAUUUAUAUAUAGGAUUGGAC
Long non-coding RNA from Malurus melanocephalus (red-backed fairy wren), 947 nucleotides. RefSeq lists it as uncharacterized. NCBI's taxonomy places the organism in Eukaryota, Metazoa, Chordata, Aves, Passeriformes, Maluridae. The transcript has 3 exons. The record is from RefSeq and is a predicted model, not a curated record.